This 306-nucleotide ribosomal RNA is filed under the name uncultured Oscillospiraceae bacterium. RNAcentral's name for it is "bacterial SSU rRNA". It matches the Rfam family "Bacterial small subunit ribosomal RNA", at positions 52 to 339 of the family's 1533-position model. The record is from RNAcentral. Lineage: Bacteria; Bacillati; Bacillota; Clostridia; Eubacteriales; Oscillospiraceae.
CACAUGCAAGUCGAACGGGGUACCCUCUACGGAAGCUUCGGCCGAAGAAGAGGACUACCUAGUGGCGGACGGGUGAGUAACGCGUGAGCAACCUGCCUUUAAGAGGGGGAUAACAUACCGAAAGGUAUGCUAAUACCGCAUAAGAUAUUAGUACCGCAUGAUACAGAUAUCAAAGAUUUCAUCGCUUAAAGAUGGGCUCGCGUCCGAUUAGAUAGUUGGCGGGGUAACGGCCCACCAAGUCGACGAUCGGUAGCCGGACUGAGAGGUUGAACGGCCACAUUGGGACUGAGACACGGCCCAGACUCC